RNAcentral lists this ribosomal RNA (253 nucleotides) under uncultured bacterium. RNAcentral's name for it is "partial 16S ribosomal RNA". It matches the Rfam family "Bacterial small subunit ribosomal RNA", at positions 524 to 776 of the family's 1533-position model. The record is from RNAcentral.
UACAGAGGUCCCAAGCGUUGUUCGGAUUCACUGGGCGUAAAGGGUGCGUAGGUGGCAGGGUAAGUUUGAUGUGAAAUCUCCGAGCUUAACUCGGAAACUGCAUUGAAUACUAUCCUGCUCGAGGUUUGGAGGGGGGACUGGAAUUCUCGGUGUAGCAGUGAAAUGCGUAGAUAUCGAGAGGAACACCAGUGGCGAAGGCGAGUCCCUGGACAACACCUGACACUGAGGCACGAAAGCUAGGGGAGCAAACAGG